GAUGAACGCUGGCGGCGUGCCUAACACAUGCAAGUCGAGCGAACGGACGGGAAGCUUUCUUCUCUGCUGUUAGCGACGGACGGGUGAGUAACACGUGGAUAACCUACCUAUAAGACUGGGAUAACUACGGGAGACCGGAUAUAAUACCGGAUCAUAUUUUGAACGGCAUGGUUCAAAAGUGCUAGACGGUCUUGCUGACUCUAAUAGAUGGUUCCGCGCUGCAUUAGCUAGUUGGUAAGGUAACGGCUUACCAAGGCAACGAUGCAUAGCCGACCUGAGAGGGUGAUCAGCCACACUGGAACUGAGACACGGUCCAGACUCCUACGGGAGGCAGCAGUGGGGAAUCUUCCGCAAUGGGCGAAAGCCUGACGGAGCAACACCGCGUGAGUGAAGAAGGUCUUCGGAUCGUAAAACUCUUUUAUUAGGGAAGAACAUAAGUGUAAGUAACUGUGCACAUCUUGACGGUACCUAAUCAAAAAGCCACGGCUAACUUCGUG
RNAcentral lists this ribosomal RNA (497 nucleotides) under uncultured bacterium. RNAcentral's name for it is "partial 16S ribosomal RNA". It matches the Rfam family "Bacterial small subunit ribosomal RNA", at positions 28 to 507 of the family's 1533-position model. The record is from RNAcentral.